GAUGAACGCUGGCGGCGUGCCUAAUACAUGCAAGUCGAGCGAACAGAUAAGGAGCUUGCUCCUUUGACGUUAGCGGCGGACGGGUGAGUAACACGUGGGUAACCUACCUAUAAGACUGGGAUAACUUCGGGAAACCGGAGCUAAUACCGGAUAACAUUUGGAACCGCAUGGUUCUAAAGUGAAAGAUGGUUUUGCUAUCACUUAUAGAUGGACCCGCGCCGUAUUAGCUAGUUGGUAAGGUAACGGCUUACCAAGGCAACGAUACGUAGCCGACCUGAGAGGGUGUUCGGCCACACUGGAACUGAGACACGGUCCAGACUCCUACGGAAGGCAGCAGUAGGGAACCUUCCGCAAUGGGCGAAAGCCUGACGGAGCAACGCCGCGUGAGUGAUGAAGGGUUUCGGCUCGUAAAACUCUGUUAUUAGGGAAGAACAAAUGUGUAAGUAACUGUGCACGUCUUGACGGUACCUAAUCAGAAAGCCACGGCUAACUACGUG
This 497-nucleotide ribosomal RNA is filed under the name uncultured bacterium. RNAcentral's name for it is "partial 16S ribosomal RNA". It matches the Rfam family "Bacterial small subunit ribosomal RNA", at positions 28 to 507 of the family's 1533-position model. The record is from RNAcentral.